Molecule: transfer RNA, 72 nt
Filed under: Ictidomys tridecemlineatus (thirteen-lined ground squirrel)
Lineage: Eukaryota; Metazoa; Chordata; Mammalia; Rodentia; Sciuridae
Also listed under: 1 other name
Description: Spermophilus tridecemlineatus (thirteen-lined ground squirrel) tRNA
Rfam family: tRNA
About the family: Transfer RNA (tRNA) molecules are approximately 80 nucleotides in length. Their secondary structure includes four short double-helical elements and three loops (D, anti-codon, and T loops).
Source: Rfam by way of RNAcentral
GGGGAUAUAGCUCAAUCAGUACAGUACUUGCCUAGCAUGCACAAGGCCUGGGUUAAAUCCCCAGCACCACCA